This 896-nucleotide ribosomal RNA is filed under the name uncultured archaeon. Its description in RNAcentral is "bacterial SSU rRNA". It matches the Rfam family "Archaeal small subunit ribosomal RNA", at positions 17 to 922 of the family's 1478-position model. The record is from RNAcentral.
CCGGACCUGACUGCUAUCGGAUUGGUACUAAGCCAUGCGAGUCAUUGUAGCAAUACAAGGCGGACGGCUCAGUAACACGUAGUCAACCUAACUCGUGGACGUGGAUAACCUCGGGAAACUGAGAAUAAACCACGAUAGAUCAUAGUGCCUGGAAUGGCUUAUGGUCCAAACAGUUUACUGCCAUGGGAUGGGACUGCGGCCUAUCAGCUUGUUGGUGAGGUAAUGGCCCACCAAGGCGAUUACAGGUACGGGCUCUGAGAGGAGAAGCCCGGAGAUGGGUACUGAGACACGGACCCAGGCCCUAUGGGGCGCAGCAGGCGAGAAACCUUAGCAAUGUGCGAAAGCACGACUGGGUCAGUCCGAGUGAUUCCUGAUAAAGGAGUCUUUUGCCUGUCCUAAAAGCACAGGUGAAUAAGGGGUGGGCAAGUCUGGUGUCAGCCGCCGCGGUAAUACCAGCACCUCGAGUGGUCAGGACGUUUAUUGGGCCUAAAGCAUCCGUAGCCGGCUCUGCAAGUCUUCGGUUAAAUCCACCUGCUCAACAGAUGGGCCGCUGGAGAUACUACAGAGCUAGGGAGUGGGAGAGGCAGACGGUAUUCAGUGGGUAGGGGUAAAAUCCUCUGAUCCAUUGAGGACCACCAGUGGCGAAGGCGGUCUGCCAGAACACGUUCGACGGUGAGGGAUGAAAGCUGGGGGAGCAAACCGGAUUAGAUACCCGGGUAGUCCCAGCUGUAAACGAUGCAAACUCGGUGAUGCAUUGGCUUAUGGCCAAUGCAGUGCCGCAGGGAAGCCGUUAAGUUUGCCGCCUGGGAAGUACGGACGCAAGUCUGAAACUUAAAGGAAUUGGCGGGGGAGCACCACAAGGGUGAAGCCUGCGGUUCAUUGGAUUCAACGCCGGG